UUUCUGGUUUUUUUUACUACCAUUUUCUAUUACGCACACCAGAUCGUCGUUUUAAAGUGCAGGGCUGUACAACUAAUCCUAACU
Non-coding RNA from Caenorhabditis elegans, 84 nucleotides. The record is from Ensembl. NCBI's taxonomy places the organism in Eukaryota, Metazoa, Nematoda, Chromadorea, Rhabditida, Rhabditidae.